This 75-nucleotide small RNA is filed under the name Arabidopsis thaliana (thale cress). RNAcentral's name for it is "ATSL231520". The record is from RNAcentral. Lineage: Eukaryota; Viridiplantae; Streptophyta; Magnoliopsida; Brassicales; Brassicaceae.
CUUCAACCACAUCCACUCUGUUUUUCAUAAUCUCACACUCUCUCUCUCUCUCUCUCUCUCUCUCACACACACACA